Molecule: unclassified non-coding RNA, 234 nt
Filed under: uncultured fungus
Lineage: Eukaryota; Fungi
Description: sequence contains ITS1
Source: RNAcentral
GUAUUGAUUGCGGGUUAGCGCAUAAAUGAGGUCAUUCUACACUUUUUAAAAGGGGUGUUUGUGUGAAAACGCGAGCCCCCUCCGAGAUGAUCCCAAAGGGUGCCCACGCGGUGAUGCACAAAGGGUGAGAUGGAUUGUGAGAGGGCUCGGGCGUGCACGACCCGGAAAGGUCAGCGACAGCCCUCGCGCCUCGGUUGUACGAUAAUGAUCCUUCCGCAGGUUCACCUACGGAAA